GGGCCCGUAGCUCAACGGCUGGAGCGGCCGGCUCAUAACCGGACGGUUCCCGGUUCAAAUCCGGGCGGGCCCACCA
This 76-nucleotide transfer RNA is filed under the name Neomoorella thermoacetica. RNAcentral's name for it is "Moorella thermoacetica tRNA-Met". It matches the Rfam family "tRNA". Rfam says of the family: Transfer RNA (tRNA) molecules are approximately 80 nucleotides in length. Their secondary structure includes four short double-helical elements and three loops (D, anti-codon, and T loops). RNAcentral also lists the same sequence under 2 other names. Lineage: Bacteria; Bacillati; Bacillota; Clostridia; Neomoorellales; Neomoorellaceae. The record is from RNAcentral.